Molecule: small nuclear RNA, 106 nt
Organism: Mus pahari (shrew mouse)
Lineage: Eukaryota; Metazoa; Chordata; Mammalia; Rodentia; Muridae
Source: RefSeq, a predicted model, not a curated record
GUACACAUUUCAGCAGCAUAUAUACUAAAACUGUAAUGAUACAAGAAAGGUCAGCAUGGCCCCUGAAAAGGAUAACAUGCAAAUUCAGAAAAGAUUUCACAUUUUU